This 27-nucleotide non-coding RNA is filed under the name Homo sapiens (human). The record is from RNAcentral. Lineage: Eukaryota; Metazoa; Chordata; Mammalia; Primates; Hominidae.
UCCAAGAUCAAGGUGUUUGGUGGCAUC